UCGGAACGUGCCCAAUCGUGGGGGGAUAACUACGCGAAAGCGUAGCUAAUACCGCAUACGAUCUACGGAUGAAAGCGGGGGAUCGCAAGACCUCGCGCGAAUGGAGCGGCCGAUGGCAGAUUAGGUAGUUGGUGGGGUAAAGGCUCACCAAGCCUGCGAUCUGUAGCUGGUCUGAGAGGACGACCAGCCACACUGGGACUGAGACACGGCCCAG
This 214-nucleotide ribosomal RNA is filed under the name uncultured bacterium. RNAcentral's name for it is "partial 16S ribosomal RNA". It matches the Rfam family "Bacterial small subunit ribosomal RNA", at positions 118 to 334 of the family's 1533-position model. The record is from RNAcentral.